RNAcentral lists this ribosomal RNA (301 nucleotides) under uncultured bacterium. RNAcentral's name for it is "partial 16S ribosomal RNA". It matches the Rfam family "Bacterial small subunit ribosomal RNA", at positions 509 to 807 of the family's 1533-position model. The record is from RNAcentral.
CAGUAGCCACGGUAAGACGGAGGGUGCUAGCGUUGUUCGGAAUCACUGGGCGUAAAGGGCGCGUAGGCGGCCUGUUAAGUCGGAUGUGAAAGCCCGGGGCUCAACCCCGGAACUGCAUCCGAGACUGGCAGGCUUGAGACCGGGAGAGGAGGGUGGAAUAUCCAGUGUAGAGGUGAAAUUCGUAGAUAUUGGAUGGAACACCGGUGGCGAAAGCGGCUCUCUGGCCCGGAUCUGACGCUGAGGCGCGAAAGCGUGGGGAGCAAACAGGAUUAGAUACCCCUGUAGUCCCUGUCUCUUAUAC